Molecule: ribosomal RNA, 253 nt
Filed under: uncultured bacterium
Lineage: Bacteria
Description: partial 16S ribosomal RNA
Rfam family: Bacterial small subunit ribosomal RNA
Source: RNAcentral
UACGAAGGGUGCAAGCGUUACUCGGAAUUACUGGGCGUAAAGCGUGCGUAGGUGGUUGUUUAAGUCUGUCGUGAAAGCCCUGGGCUCAACCUGGGAAUUGCGAUGGAUACUGGGCAGCUAGAGUGUGGUAGAGGAUAGUGGAAUUUCCGGUGUAGCAGUGAAAUGCGUAGAGAUCGGAAGGAACAUCUGUGGCGAAGGCGACUAUCUGGGCCAACACUGACACUGAGGCACGAAAGCGUGGGGAGCAAACAGG